RNAcentral lists this ribosomal RNA (762 nucleotides) under bacterium C-TJ2. Its description in RNAcentral is "bacterial SSU rRNA". It matches the Rfam family "Bacterial small subunit ribosomal RNA", at positions 66 to 845 of the family's 1533-position model. The record is from RNAcentral.
ACGAUGAAGCACCAGCUUGCUGGUGUGGAUUAGUGGCGAACGGGUGAGUAACACGUGAGUAACCUGCCCCUCACUCUGGGAUAAGCCUGGGAAACUGGGUCUAAUACUGGAUACGACCGAUCUCCGCAUGGAGUGUUGGUGGAAAGUUUUUGUGGUGGGGGAUGGACUCGCGGCCUAUCAGCUUGUUGGUGGGGUAAUGGCCUACCAAGGCGACGACGGGUAGCCGGCCUGAGAGGGCGACCGGCCACACUGGGACUGAGACACGGCCCAGACUCCUACGGGAGGCAGCAGUGGGGAAUAUUGCACAAUGGGCGAAAGCCUGAUGCAGCGACGCCGCGUGAGGGAUGACGGCCUUCGGGUUGUAAACCUCUUUCACCAGGGACGAAGCUAACGUGACGGUACCUGGAGAAGAAGCACCGGCUAACUACGUGCCAGCAGCCGCGGUAAUACGUAGGGUGCGAGCGUUGUCCGGAAUUAUUGGGCGUAAAGAGCUUGUAGGCGGUUUGUCGCGUCUGCUGUGAAAGACCGGGGCUUAACUCCGGUUCUGCAGUGGGUACGGGCAGACUAGAGUGUGGUAGGGGAGACUGGAAUUCCUGGUGUAGCGGUGAAAUGCGCAGAUAUCAGGAGGAACACCGAUGGCGAAGGCAGGUCUCUGGGCCAUUACUGACGCUGAGAAGCGAAAGCAUGGGGAGCGAACAGGAUUAGAUACCCUGGUAGUCCAUGCCGUANACGUUGGGCGCUAGGUGUGGGACUCAUUCCACG